AUACGGAGGGUGCAAGCGUUACUCGGAAUCACUGGGCGUAAAGCGCGCGCAGGCGGCUUGAUAAGUUGGAUGUGAAAGCCUACGGCUCAACCGUAGAACUGCAUCCAAAACUGUCAGGCUUGAGUGUGGGAGAGGAAGAUGGAAUUAGUUGUGUAGGGGUAAAAUCCGUAGAGAUAACUAGGAAUACCAAAAGCGAAGGCAAUCUUCUGGAACACUACUGACGCUGAGGCGCGAAGGCGUGGGGAGCAAACAGGAUUAGAAACCCUUGUAGUCC
RNAcentral lists this ribosomal RNA (274 nucleotides) under uncultured bacterium. RNAcentral's name for it is "partial 16S ribosomal RNA". It matches the Rfam family "Bacterial small subunit ribosomal RNA", at positions 523 to 796 of the family's 1533-position model. The record is from RNAcentral.